Molecule: ribosomal RNA, 1528 nt
Filed under: Klebsiella pneumoniae BWH 46
Lineage: Bacteria; Pseudomonadati; Pseudomonadota; Gammaproteobacteria; Enterobacterales; Enterobacteriaceae
Description: bacterial SSU rRNA
Rfam family: Bacterial small subunit ribosomal RNA
Source: RNAcentral
AGAGUUUGAUCAUGGCUCAGAUUGAACGCUGGCGGCAGGCCUAACACAUGCAAGUCGAGCGGUAGCACAGAGAGCUUGCUCUCGGGUGACGAGCGGCGGACGGGUGAGUAAUGUCUGGGAAACUGCCUGAUGGAGGGGGAUAACUACUGGAAACGGUAGCUAAUACCGCAUAACGUCGCAAGACCAAAGUGGGGGACCUUCGGGCCUCAUGCCAUCAGAUGUGCCCAGAUGGGAUUAGCUAGUAGGUGGGGUAAUGGCUCACCUAGGCGACGAUCCCUAGCUGGUCUGAGAGGAUGACCAGCCACACUGGAACUGAGACACGGUCCAGACUCCUACGGGAGGCAGCAGUGGGGAAUAUUGCACAAUGGGCGCAAGCCUGAUGCAGCCAUGCCGCGUGUGUGAAGAAGGCCUUCGGGUUGUAAAGCACUUUCAGCGGGGAGGAAGGCGGUGAGGUUAAUAACCUCAUCGAUUGACGUUACCCGCAGAAGAAGCACCGGCUAACUCCGUGCCAGCAGCCGCGGUAAUACGGAGGGUGCAAGCGUUAAUCGGAAUUACUGGGCGUAAAGCGCACGCAGGCGGUCUGUCAAGUCGGAUGUGAAAUCCCCGGGCUCAACCUGGGAACUGCAUUCGAAACUGGCAGGCUAGAGUCUUGUAGAGGGGGGUAGAAUUCCAGGUGUAGCGGUGAAAUGCGUAGAGAUCUGGAGGAAUACCGGUGGCGAAGGCGGCCCCCUGGACAAAGACUGACGCUCAGGUGCGAAAGCGUGGGGAGCAAACAGGAUUAGAUACCCUGGUAGUCCACGCCGUAAACGAUGUCGAUUUGGAGGUUGUGCCCUUGAGGCGUGGCUUCCGGAGCUAACGCGUUAAAUCGACCGCCUGGGGAGUACGGCCGCAAGGUUAAAACUCAAAUGAAUUGACGGGGGCCCGCACAAGCGGUGGAGCAUGUGGUUUAAUUCGAUGCAACGCGAAGAACCUUACCUGGUCUUGACAUCCACAGAACUUUCCAGAGAUGGAUUGGUGCCUUCGGGAACUGUGAGACAGGUGCUGCAUGGCUGUCGUCAGCUCGUGUUGUGAAAUGUUGGGUUAAGUCCCGCAACGAGCGCAACCCUUAUCCUUUGUUGCCAGCGGUCCGGCCGGGAACUCAAAGGAGACUGCCAGUGAUAAACUGGAGGAAGGUGGGGAUGACGUCAAGUCAUCAUGGCCCUUACGACCAGGGCUACACACGUGCUACAAUGGCAUAUACAAAGAGAAGCGACCUCGCGAGAGCAAGCGGACCUCAUAAAGUAUGUCGUAGUCCGGAUUGGAGUCUGCAACUCGACUCCAUGAAGUCGGAAUCGCUAGUAAUCGUAGAUCAGAAUGCUACGGUGAAUACGUUCCCGGGCCUUGUACACACCGCCCGUCACACCAUGGGAGUGGGUUGUAAAAGAAGUAGGUAGCUUAACCUUCGGGAGGGCGCUUACCACUUUGUGAUUCAUGACUGGGGUGAAGUCGUAACAAGGUAACCGUAGGGGAACCUGCGGUUGGAUCACCU